Molecule: ribosomal RNA, 275 nt
Filed under: uncultured bacterium
Lineage: Bacteria
Description: partial 16S ribosomal RNA
Rfam family: Bacterial small subunit ribosomal RNA
Source: RNAcentral
CCUACGGGGGGCUGCAGUGGGGAAUCUUGCGCAAUGGACGAAAGUCUGACGCAGCGACGCCGCGUGGGUGACGAAGGCCUUCGGGUUGUAAAGCCCUGUGGGGUGAGACGAACAGCUGGGGUUCAAAUAGGGCCUUGGUCUGACGGUAUCACCUUAGCAAGCACCGGCUAACUCUGUGCCAGCAGCCGCGGUAAUACAGAGGGUGCAAACGUUGCUCGGAAUUACUGGGCGUAAAGCGCGUGUAGGCGGUUUUAUAAGUCCAACGUGAAAGCCUG